UGCCGGGAUGGCGGAAUGGUAGACGCGCCGGACUCAAAAUUCGGUGAUGGCGACAUCGUGUGGGUUCGAGUCCCACUCUCGGUACCAU
Molecule: transfer RNA, 88 nt
Filed under: Rickettsiella grylli
Lineage: Bacteria; Pseudomonadati; Pseudomonadota; Gammaproteobacteria; Legionellales; Coxiellaceae
Description: tRNA-Leu
Rfam family: tRNA
About the family: Transfer RNA (tRNA) molecules are approximately 80 nucleotides in length. Their secondary structure includes four short double-helical elements and three loops (D, anti-codon, and T loops).
Source: RNAcentral